Molecule: non-coding RNA, 929 nt
Organism: Biomphalaria pfeifferi
Lineage: Eukaryota; Metazoa; Mollusca; Gastropoda; Planorbidae
Source: the annotation of a GenBank genome assembly
CUCUCUCUCUCUCUCUCUCUUUCUCUCAUUCUCUUCUUCUCUCUCACUUCUUUCUGAAUCUUUUAUCCAUUUGCAUAAAGUUCAUAUAUUACUCAAUGUUAUCUGUUGUUGCUUUUUUUCUCAUUAUCACUGAGAAUCUUAAAAAAAUGUUUUUAUUUAGUGUUUUUGUUGAAUUGUACAGCAUUAAAGUGAAACUUGAGGCUUGCUUCUGGUUAUGUUCAUAUGGAAAUAAAACUCGGAGACAUUUCUUCGUUGGAACAAUGUGGAAGCAGGACAUUUGAUGACAGGUUCAUUGGAUCACUGCAAGUUUGGAACGCUGGUGAGUCAUUUGGAUAUAAAAACAUUUGAUGACAGGUUCAUUUGAUCACUGCAAGUUUGGAACUCUUGUGAGUCAUUUGAAUAUAAAAACUUUUGAUGGCAAGAAUAUUUGAUGUAUUAAGAAAGUGAGUCGUUAGGCUAUUUCACUAGUGAAACAGUGAGAUUUGGUCUUUGGGAAUGUCGUCAUGAAAUCGUGCACUUAUUAGGACCCUGAUAGUUCCCUAAACGUUUAGUCAACAGCUCUUGUCUUGACUGGAGAUUUUCCAAUGUUUGGACAAUGAAUUGACCAGUGAGUUUUUCGGGUAUUAUAGCAAAUCUGAACGUCUUUUACUCUUGUGGCUUAACAAAAGUCGAAAUCAGGAAAGUAUUGUAAGCCCAGGUAGUAAGGAUUGUCUGUCAGUGGGAAGAUUUUGUUGGCACUUGUACAGCAGAAAUGCUUAUCUCAGUCCGUUGGCCAUCCAGGACAGCAAAAAGGCUUAUCUCAGUCCGCUGGCCAUCCAGGACAGCAGAAAGGCUUAUCUCAGUUUGUUGGCAAUCUUGGACAACAGAAAGGCUUAUCUCAGUCCGUUGAUAAUCUUGGACAGCAGAAAGGCUUAUCUCAGUCCGUUGGC